Molecule: ribosomal RNA, 401 nt
Filed under: uncultured bacterium
Lineage: Bacteria
Description: partial 16S ribosomal RNA
Rfam family: Archaeal small subunit ribosomal RNA
Source: RNAcentral
ACACCGGCAGCUCUAGUGGUAGCAGUUUUUAUUGGGCCUAAAGCGUCCGUAGCCGGUUUAAUAAGUCUCUGGUGAAAUCCUGUAGCUUAACUGUGGGUAUUGCUGGAGAUACUAUUAGACUUGAGACCGGGAGAGGUUAGAGGUACUCCCAGGGUAGAGGUGAAAUUCUGUAAUCCUGGGAGGACCGCCUGUUGCGAAGGCGUCUAACUGGAACGGUUCUGACGGUGAGGGACGAAAGUUAGGGGCGCGAACCGGAUUAGAUACCCGGGUAGUCCUAACUGUAAACGAUGCGGACUUGGUGUUGGGGUGGCUUUGAGCUGCUCCAGUGCCGAAGGGAAGCUGUUAAGUCCGCCGCCUGGGAAGUACGGUCGCAAGACUGAAACUUAAAUGAAUUGGCGGGG